UACGUAGGUGGCGAGCGUUAUCCGGAAUUACUGGGCGUAAAGGGUGUGUAGGUGGCUGCCAUAGUCGGGCGUGAAAUCCCGGGGCUUAACCUCGGGUUUGCGUUCGAUACUUGGUGGCUGGAGUGCGGGAGAGGGAAGUGGAAUUCCCGGUGUAGAGGUGAAAUUCGUAGAUAUCGGGAGGAACACCAGAGGCGAAGGCGGCUACCUGGACCAUACCUGACGCUGAGGAGCGAAAGCGUGGGGAGCAAACAGG
Molecule: ribosomal RNA, 253 nt
Filed under: uncultured microorganism
Description: partial 16S ribosomal RNA
Rfam family: Bacterial small subunit ribosomal RNA
Source: RNAcentral